GACGAACGCUGGCGGCGUGCUUAACACAUGCAAGUCGAACGAUGAAGCCGGAGCUUGCUCUGGUGAAUUAGUGGCGAACGGGUGAGUAACACGUGAGUAACCUGCCCUUGACUCUGGGAUAACUGCUAGAAAUGGUAGCUAAUACCGGAUACGACCCUCGGCGGCAUCGCCAGGGGGUGGAAAGAAUUUCGGUCAAGGAUGGACUCGCGGCCUAUCAGCUAGUUGGUGAGGUAACGGCUCACCAAGGCGACGACGGGUAGCCGGCCUGAGAGGGUGACCGGCCACACUGGGACGGAGACACGGCCCAGACUCCUACGGGAGGCAGCAGUGGGGAAUAUUGCACAAGGGGCGCAAGCCUGAUGCAGCAACGCCGCGUGAGGGAUGACGGCCUUCGGGUUGUAAACCUCUUUUAGUGGGGACGAAGCGCAAGUGACGGUACCUACAGAAGAAGGACCGGCCAACUACGUGCCAGCCGCCGCCGUAA
This 484-nucleotide ribosomal RNA is filed under the name uncultured bacterium. Its description in RNAcentral is "partial 16S ribosomal RNA". It matches the Rfam family "Bacterial small subunit ribosomal RNA", at positions 28 to 523 of the family's 1533-position model. The record is from RNAcentral.